UUUUGCGGGGAGUUUGUUAAAAGAAACUGGCAUGGUGAAUCCCCCUGUGCGGAGGGGCAAUCAGCGAGUAGGUAUAUGGGAUAAUCGCGGAUUCAGGUGCUGGUACUGAAUUCACCGGGAGGCACCCGGCACCAUGCAGUUGACUGAAACCAUGUAUACUCUCAGGCCCCACGCACAUGUGUUGGGGCCUUUUUACAUGC
This 200-nucleotide small RNA is filed under the name Escherichia coli. RNAcentral describes it as "Gammaproteobacterial sRNA STnc100". It matches the Rfam family "Gammaproteobacterial sRNA STnc100". The record is from RNAcentral. Lineage: Bacteria; Pseudomonadati; Pseudomonadota; Gammaproteobacteria; Enterobacterales; Enterobacteriaceae.